Molecule: ribosomal RNA, 771 nt
Filed under: uncultured Vagococcus sp.
Lineage: Bacteria; Bacillati; Bacillota; Bacilli; Lactobacillales; Enterococcaceae
Description: bacterial SSU rRNA
Rfam family: Bacterial small subunit ribosomal RNA
Source: RNAcentral
GACGAACGCUGGCGGCGUGCCUAAUACAUGCAAGUCGAACGCACGAAGUUGAAGAGCUUGCUCUUUAACCAAGUGAGUGGCGGACGGGUGAGUAACACGUGGGUAACCUGCCCAUUAGAGGGGGAUAACAUUCGGAAACGGAUGCUAAUACCGCAUAGUUUCAGGAAUCGCAUGAUUCUUGAAGGAAAGGUGGCUUCGGCUACCACUAAUGGAUGGACCCGCGGCGUAUUAGCUAGUUGGUGAGGUAAUGGCUCACCAAGGCAAUGAUACGUAGCCGACCUGAGAGGGUGAUCGGCCACACUGGGACUGAGACACGGCCCAGACUCCUACGGGAGGCAGCAGUAGGGAAUCUUCCGCAAUGGACGAAAGUCUGACGGAGCAACGCCGCGUGAGUGAAGAAGGUUUUCGGAUCGUAAAACUCUGUUGUUAAAGAAGAACAAGGAUGAGAGUAACUGCUCAUCCCCUGACGGUAUUUAACCAGAAAGCCACGGCUAACUACGUGCCAGCAGCCGCGGUAAUACGUAGGUGGCAAGCGUUGUCCGGAUUUAUUGGGCGUAAAGCGAGCGCAGGCGGUUCUUUAAGUCUGAUGUGAAAGCCCCCGGCUCAACCGGGGAGGGUCAUUGGAAACUGGAGAACUUGAGUGCAGAAGAGGAGAGUGGAAUUCCACGUGUAGCGGUGAAAUGCGUAGAUAUGUGGAGGAACACCAGUGGCGAAGGCGACUCUCUGGUCUGUAACUGACGCUGAGGCUCGAAAGCGUGGGGACCAAACCUG